GACGAACGCUGGCGGCGUGCUUAACACAUGCAAGUCGAACGGAAAGGCCCUGCUUUUGUGGGGUGCUCGAGUGGCGAACGGGUGAGUAACACGUGAGUAACCUGCCCUUGACUUUGGGAUAACUUCAGGAAACUGGGGCUAAUACCGGAUAGGAGCUCCUGCUGCAUGGUGGGGGUUGGAAAGUUUCGGCGGUCGGGGAUGGACUCGCGGCUUAUCAGCUUGUUGGUGGGGUAGUGGCUUACCAAGGCUUUGACGGGUAGCCGGCCCGAGAGGGUGACCGGCCACAUUGGGACUGAGAUACGGCCCAGACUCCUACGGGAGGCAGCAGUGGGGAAUAUUGCACAAUGGGCGGAAGCCUGAUGCAGCAACGCCGCGUGCGGGAUGACGGCCUUCGGGUUGUAAACCGCUUUCGCCUGUGACGAAGCGUGAGUGACGGUAAUGGGUAAAGAAGCACCGGCUAACUACGUG
RNAcentral lists this ribosomal RNA (468 nucleotides) under uncultured bacterium. RNAcentral's name for it is "partial 16S ribosomal RNA". It matches the Rfam family "Bacterial small subunit ribosomal RNA", at positions 28 to 507 of the family's 1533-position model. The record is from RNAcentral.